Callithrix jacchus (white-tufted-ear marmoset) is the source of this 306-nucleotide unclassified non-coding RNA. It matches the Rfam family "Metazoan signal recognition particle RNA". Rfam says of the family: The signal recognition particle (SRP) is a universally conserved ribonucleoprotein. It is involved in the co-translational targeting of proteins to membranes. The eukaryotic SRP consists of a 300-nucleotide 7S RNA and six proteins: SRPs 72, 68, 54, 19, 14, and 9. NCBI's taxonomy places the organism in Eukaryota, Metazoa, Chordata, Mammalia, Primates, Cebidae. The record is from Ensembl.
ACUGGGCGUGGUGGUGCAAGCCUGUAGUGUCAGCUACUUGGGAGCCUGAGGCUGGAGGAUCUCUUGAUUCCAGGAGUUCUGGGCUGUAUUGCACUAUGCCGAUCAGGUGUCCACACUAAGUUUGGCAUCAAUAUGGUGACCUCCCGGGAGCAGGAGUGGGGGACCACCAGGUUGCCUAAGGAGGGGUGAACCAGCCCAGGUCUGAAAUGGAGCAGGUCAAAACUCCCAUGCUGAUCAGUAGUGGGACUGUGCCUGUGAAUAGCCACUACACUCAAGCCUGGGCAACAUAGCAAGACCCCGUCUCUU